AUUGAACGCUGGCGGCAUGCUUUACACAUGCAAGUCGAACGGCAGCGGGGAGGAGCUUGCUUCUCUGCCGGCGAGUGGCGGACGGGUGAGUCAUACAUCGGAACGUGUCGAGAAGAGGGGGAUAACCACCCGAAAGGGUGGCUAAUACCGCAUAAAUUCUGAGGCAGAAAGCUGGGGACCUAGGAAUAGGCCUAGCGCUUUUUGAGCGGCCGAUGUCGGAUUAGCUAGUUGGUGAGGUAAAGGCUCACCAAGGCGAAGAUCUGUAGCGGGUCUGAGAGGAUGAUCCGCCACACUGGGACUGAGACACGGCCAAGACUCCUACGGGAGGCAGCAGUGGGGAAUUUUGGACAAUGGGGGCAAACCUGAUACAGCCAUGCCGCGUGUAUGAAGAAGGCCUUAGGGUUGUAAAGUACUUUUGUUAGGGAAGAAAAGUCAGCUGUGAAUAAUGGCUGAUACUGACGGUACCUAAAGAAUAAGCACCGGCUAACUACGUG
This 494-nucleotide ribosomal RNA is filed under the name uncultured bacterium. RNAcentral describes it as "partial 16S ribosomal RNA". It matches the Rfam family "Bacterial small subunit ribosomal RNA", at positions 30 to 507 of the family's 1533-position model. The record is from RNAcentral.